RNAcentral lists this ribosomal RNA (847 nucleotides) under uncultured Maribacter sp. RNAcentral describes it as "bacterial SSU rRNA". It matches the Rfam family "Bacterial small subunit ribosomal RNA", at positions 24 to 862 of the family's 1533-position model. The record is from RNAcentral. Lineage: Bacteria; Pseudomonadati; Bacteroidota; Flavobacteriia; Flavobacteriales; Flavobacteriaceae.
UCAGGAUGAACGCUAGCGGCAGGCCUAACACAUGCAAGUCGAGGGGUAACAGGGAGUGCUUGCACUCCGCUGACGACCGGCGCACGGGUGCGCACCGCGUAUGGAACCUGCCUCUUGCUGGGGAAUAGCCCAUGGAAACGUGGAUUAAUGCCCCAUAGUAUUUACCUUGCACCUGUAAGGUUGAUUAAAGGCUUCGGUCGGCAAGAGAUGGCCAUGCGUCCCAUUAGCUGGAUGGUAAGGUAACGGCUUACCAUGGCUACGAUGGGUAGGGGCCCUGAGAGGGGGAUCCCCCACACUGGUACUGAGACACGGACCAGACUCCUACGGGAGGCAGCAGUGAGGAAUAUUGGACAAUGGAGGAGACUCUGAUCCAGCCAUGCCGCGUGCAGGAAGACGGCCCUAUGGGUUGUAAACUGCUUUUAUACGGGAAGAAAAAAGGGUACGUGUACCCUACUGACGGUACCGUAAGAAUAAGGACCGGCUAACUCCGUGCCAGCAGCCGCGGUAAUACGGAGGGUCCGAGCGUUAUCCGGAAUUAUUGGGUUUAAAGGGUCCGUAGGCGGGCCAUUAAGUCAGGGGUGAAAGUCUGCGGCUCAACCGUAGAAUUGCCUUUGAUACUGGUGGUCUUGAGUUAUGGUGAAGUGGCUGGAAUAUGUAGUGUAGCGGUGAAAUGCAUAGAUAUUACAUAGAACACCGAUUGCGAAGGCAGGUCACUAACCAUAUACUGACGCUGAUGGACGAAAGCGUGGGGAGCGAACAGGAUUAGAUACCCUGGUAGUCCACGCCGUAAACGAUGGAUACUAGCUGUCCGGGACUUUAAGUUCUGGGCGGCCAAGCGAAAGUGAUA